This is a long non-coding RNA of Mauremys reevesii (Reeves's turtle), 699 nucleotides long. RefSeq lists it as uncharacterized. Lineage: Eukaryota; Metazoa; Chordata; Testudines; Geoemydidae. The transcript is spliced from 3 exons. The record is from RefSeq and is a predicted model, not a curated record.
AUGAUCAGUUCUGAAAAGGCAGGGUCUGCUGAAAGCCCUUUUAAAAAUGGCUACUAGCUUUCUAUAGCUGAAGCACGUCUAGGCUCAGGAAGAAUCGCAGCAUGCACUCUGGUAGAGUGCAAAAGGAGUUUUAUCCUGCCUGAGUGGGCAUUACCUGCAGCAGUCUCGUUCAGACCAGAUACCCGGCCCAGUCCAGACUGAUAACUGUUUCCUGGAACAUGAGCUGACAAGAUUCCAAAUAUUAUUUUAGUGCCCCUGAAAUUAAGAUGGGAAACUAAGGCACAGACAGGAGAAGCGACUUGCCCAAGAUCAGCCAGCCGGCAGUGGCAGAGACAGGAAUAGAAUCCAGAUUCCCCCGUCCACUGAUCUAUCCACUAGGCCAUUUAGGAAUUUCUAGUUCUAAGUCCGAUGUUCAUCUUCUAGGUCACUCAGGCAAUAUUGACUCUGGCCUUUUUCUCUCUUUUUGUCUUAGUUUCCCUAGCUGCAUAAAGGAAUAGUACUACAAUUGGCCUAUGUUGCAAAGUGUUAUGAGAAAUAGUGUUUGUAUAGUGCUUUGAAAAGCGUUUGUGUGUCUUGACCCGAGCUGCAUGUUGCUGUGAAGUGAUAUUACUGUUAAAAAACAAAGUCCUGAUGCACUGAAAUUACAAUGCCAGUUUUAAUUCAAUGAGCAGCCUUUUUGACUUGUAUACAUUUGUUGUA